CACAAAGAAAUAAGGCCCAAUCCCAUGUCCCACCCUACAAGUGUAAGAGGCUGCAAGGGCAAGCCAUCAAGAAAUGGUUGAUGAUAUAAACCAGAAUCUACGGCCAGUAUGAACAGAUCAGGACCAGGAACAGAAUGUGCCAUGAAGUCAAUAAUCAUCUGGUCUGGGUACAGACAAUCUUCUUCAAAGAAGUCAGGGAUUUGAGUCUUGUCAUGGACCUUUGUAGCAUGGCAGCCCCCGAAACCAAACUAUUGAAAAAAGAGAGAAGAAAUAAGCGUCACUUACG
Long non-coding RNA from Anoplopoma fimbria (sablefish), 286 nucleotides. RefSeq lists it as uncharacterized. The record is from RefSeq and is a predicted model, not a curated record. The transcript has 3 exons. NCBI's taxonomy places the organism in Eukaryota, Metazoa, Chordata, Actinopteri, Perciformes, Anoplopomatidae.